CAGCCGCCGCGGUAAUACAGAGGGUGCAAGCGUUAAUCGGAAUUACUGGGCGUAAAGCGCGCGUAGGUGGUUUGUUAAGUUGGAUGUGAAAUCCCCGGGCUCAACCUGGGAACUGCAUCCAAAACUGGCAAGCUAGAGUAUGGUAGAGGGUGGUGGAAUUUCCUGUGUAGCGGUGAAAUGCGUAGAUAUAGGAAGGAACACCAGUGGCGAAGGCGACCACCUGGACUGAUACUGACACUGAGGUGCGAAAGCGUGGGGAGCAAACAGGAUUAGAUACCCGUGUAGUCCCUGUCUCUUAUAC
RNAcentral lists this ribosomal RNA (301 nucleotides) under uncultured bacterium. RNAcentral's name for it is "partial 16S ribosomal RNA". It matches the Rfam family "Bacterial small subunit ribosomal RNA", at positions 509 to 807 of the family's 1533-position model. The record is from RNAcentral.